Molecule: ribosomal RNA, 460 nt
Filed under: uncultured bacterium
Lineage: Bacteria
Description: partial 16S ribosomal RNA
Rfam family: Bacterial small subunit ribosomal RNA
Source: RNAcentral
CCUACGGGAGGCUGCAGUGAGGAAUAUUGGUCAAUGGACGAGAGUCUGAACCAGCCAAGUCGCGUGAAGGAUGACUGCCCUAUGGGUUGUAAACUUCUUUUAUACAGGAGUAAAACGAGGCACGUGUGCCUUUUUGCAUGUACUUUAUGAAUAAGGAUCGGCUAACUCCGUGCCAGCAGCCGCGGUAAUACGGAGGAUCCGAGCGUUAUCCGGAUUUAUUGGGUUUAAAGGGAGCGUAGGUGGGUUGUUAAGUCAGUUGUGAAAGUUUGCGGCUCAACCGUAAAACUGCAAUUGAUACUGGCAGUCUUGAGUACAGGUGAGGUAGGCGGAAUUCGUGGUGUAGCGGUGAAAUGCUUAGAUAUCACGAAGAACCCCGAUUGCGAAGGCAGCUUACCAAACUGUGACUGACAUUGAUGCACGAAAGUGUGGGUAUCAAACAGGAUUAGAUACCCUGGUAGUC